GCCAUCGUAGCACAAAGGUAGUGCAUUGCCUUCCUACGUAAAUCUUUGAUUUAUGUGUUGUAAUCAGAAAAUCGAUUAAGGCAAAGGUUGUGGGUUCGAGCCCCAUCGAUGGUU
This is a non-coding RNA of Mycena epipterygia, 114 nucleotides long. NCBI's taxonomy places the organism in Eukaryota, Fungi, Basidiomycota, Agaricomycetes, Agaricales, Mycenaceae. The record is from the annotation of a GenBank genome assembly.